GACGAACGCUGGCGGCGCGCCUAACACAUGCAAGUCGAGCGAUGAAAUUUUAACCGAUCUCUUCGGAGAGAAGAGAAAAUGGAUUAGCGGCGGACGGGUGAGUAACCCGUGAGUAACCUGCCUUUCACAAGGGGAUAGCCACGGGAAACCGGGAUUAAUACCCUAUGACACAUUUCCUUCGCAUGGAAGAAAUGUUAAAACUACGGGGGUGCAAGAUGGUCUCGCGCCUGAUUAGCUAGUUGGUGGGGUAACGGCCCACCAAGGCCAUGAUCAGUAACCGGCCUGAGAAGGUGCACUGUCACAUUGGAACUGAGACACGGUCGGAAAUCCUACGGGAAGCAGCAGAAGGGUAUAUUGCCCAAUGGAGGAAGCUCUAGUGCAGCGACGCCGUGUGAGCGAUUAAGGCUUUCGAGUCGUAAAGCUCUGUCCUAUGGGAAGAUAAUGACGGUAACAUAGGAAGAAGCCCCGGCUAACUACGUG
RNAcentral lists this ribosomal RNA (480 nucleotides) under uncultured bacterium. RNAcentral's name for it is "partial 16S ribosomal RNA". It matches the Rfam family "Bacterial small subunit ribosomal RNA", at positions 28 to 507 of the family's 1533-position model. The record is from RNAcentral.